CCUUGCCACCGCCCAGCUCCAGAUUAGCCUCAUUCCCACUCACCUCUCCAUUGGAGCCUAGAGCAGUUCUCCACCCAGAUCCCGUCUCUCACCCGUUGCGGCAGCGACCGACAGCACUCGGCAAGUUACGGUGCUAGCAAAGUACGGCGACUGGUGGUGGCGGAAAACGGCGAGUGGCUACGCAUGCUGUAGUGGGAGCGGCGGCAGCACGGGCUGAUGGGCGAGCGGGGGGCAGGGGCGCAAGGCUGAUGGCCGAGCGGCGGCGCGUGUUAAUGGGCGGCCGGCGCCGUGGGGUGAUGUUCUGCGCUGAUCGGUUCUCAUUCGCAUGCAGGGUAAAGGAGGCGAGAGAUCCACAUCUCUAGCUGAACAGACGCCCGAGGAAAGGUCUUCUCCCUACCCAGCCAGAAGUUUGAUCCUUCCGAUCGAAGAGUUUCCAUUUGCAAGACGUAUGGUUGGAAAAGGAUUGAAGUACCGGUGUAACACUAAUAAUUCUUACUAAGAUGUGAUUUCUAUGUCAAUGUGUAGAUGAUUCCUGAACAAGUAAGAUUGUUCCUUUUAGCUCAAUUAAAUGUCAGCUGCAUCAUAUCAUUUUCAUCUCUCUUAUAACAAGUCUUAUAGUUUCUUAGGUAUUGGUAAGUCAUAUUGGAGAUAAAUUGAGUUGUGAUAAUGCUAUGAUACUAAUGAUGACAAUGGUACAUAUGGCAGUGUGGGAGAUUAUAUAUAUGGCGAUGGGCAUUAUGAUCAAGAUGACGAUAAUGGUGAUGAGUCUGAUGAUCUUCGAGUCAUGCAACCAAGUGAAGUUAUGAAGUUCAUGGACAAUUUAGCUUAUGCACAAUGUUUGGACCAUUAUAUCUUAGUCACUAUUUUUUUUCAUUUGACACUUCUUAGAUGUGUCAGUAUGGCCAAUGUAAUAUUGAUUCAACUCAUUAGACAUGUUAUACUUCUUGUUGUUAUGCUAAAUAAAAUAUAUUUUCUUUGAUUUA
Triticum aestivum (bread wheat) is the source of this 983-nucleotide long non-coding RNA. RefSeq lists it as uncharacterized. NCBI's taxonomy places the organism in Eukaryota, Viridiplantae, Streptophyta, Magnoliopsida, Poales, Poaceae. The record is from RefSeq and is a predicted model, not a curated record. The transcript has 3 exons.